RNAcentral lists this ribosomal RNA (301 nucleotides) under uncultured bacterium. RNAcentral's name for it is "partial 16S ribosomal RNA". It matches the Rfam family "Bacterial small subunit ribosomal RNA", at positions 509 to 808 of the family's 1533-position model. The record is from RNAcentral.
CAGCGCCGCAGGAACACCGAGGGUGCGAGCGUUAAUCGGAUUUACUGGGCGUAAAGCGUGCGUAGGCGGCUUUUUAAGUCGGAUGUGAAAUCCCUGAGCUUAACUUAGGAAUUGCAUUCGAUACUGGGAAGCUAGAGUAUGGGAGAGGAUGGUAGAAUUCCAGGUGUAGCGGUGAAAUGCGUAGAGAUCUGGAGGAAUACCGAUGGCGAAGGCAGCCAUCUGGCCUAAUACUGACGCUGAGGUACGAAAGCAUGGGGAGCAAACAGGAUUAGAUACCCCCGUAGUCCCUGUCUCUUAUACA